AUGCUUCUGGGAAGAAAGAAAGAGGCCGGCCCAGAAUUCCAAACCAGGAGACCUACACCUGUAUUUCUGAUAGGCUGGAAAAAACUGGGACAGGCCCCAUGGGCAUUUAAAGAUGGGACUUGGGAUACUGGGCUGAGGCUGGGGCAGAGAGGUGACAGAAGAACUGAGGGUGCAGACAGAAGAAACCAGGUGUGGCGGGGUCAGGGGUCGAGUGAUGCCAGCGAGUGCAUGGCUGUGCUGCAGGACCGUCCAGGAAGAGGGUGGCCACGAAGGACUCACAAUAAACACACCCGGAGUCUCGGAGGCUGUAUGUUUCAGUGCGUGAAAACACCAAUGGCUAAGCUGAGCAGAUGUGCCAAGCCGUGACAAAGGCAGGCAGGUACCCGAUGCUGGACACUUGGUCAGCAUCCCAGGGGCCACCCACAGAUGGCAUCAGAAAAAGGGGUUGAGUCCCCUCCACGGUGACCCUUCCCUGGACAGGGGACAUUCUCCAAGGAGGCCAGGUGUGUCACCCGAGGUCAAAGAGUGGUCUGCCUGCAGGCAGAUGUCGAGGCCAGGUGAUGAAGCCGUGUACAGGGUCUUCCAGGACAGCAGGGGCUUCUUUCUAGAGUGUGACCCACUCCACUCCUGGCCUGUCCCGUGGGGAAAGAGAGCAAUUCCACUUCUGGGAUGUCCCUCCUUCUCACCUCUGUCCCUCCUUGCAGCAACCGUCCAGGGUGCUCUAGGGGGGACAUUCCCAAGAGCGCCCACUCAUCCAAGUGUCUUGUCCUCUUGGUGACAAAACGCGUGAGGCUGAUUUUCUUGCCUUGGGCUUGCUUUUCUAACUAGGUGUUGCCAGGGUCACUGUCUGCUUUCAUGCCGGGCCCUCCCAGAUCUGAGUGCUGGGUCACCAAACGGCUGCCUUGGCAGCGGGGACCAUCUCCUCAGCCACAUGCCCACCUGAUGUCUGGUGAAGCCCCAGACGUGGACUCGUCACUCACGAAGUAUCUGGUGAACGAGUAAG
Molecule: long non-coding RNA, 1003 nt
Filed under: Capra hircus (goat)
Lineage: Eukaryota; Metazoa; Chordata; Mammalia; Artiodactyla; Bovidae
Description: lncRNA (ENSCHIG00000001679.1)
Source: RNAcentral